GGCCGCAGUAAACUGACUGUGCUAAGGUAGCAAAAUCAUUAGUCUUUUAGUUGAAGACCAGUAUAAAAGAUUUGACAUAGAGCUCCCUGUCUCCAGGUUAAUUAGAUGUAACUUUAUGUUGAGGUAAAAAAGCCUUAUAAUAUUAAAAAGACGAUAAGACCCUAAAAUCUGCUUAAAAAAAAUUGGCUUUUAGAUUAAUUAAUAUUUGAUAUUAAGCAUACUGGGGCGGUAAUUAUUAUUUAAACAUUAAUAAGUUCAACACAUUGAGUGAUUUUUUAUAACCUUAGUGAAUAGAAUAAGAUACUUUAGGGAUAACAGCAUAAUAUACUUUUAUAGUUCAUAUUGACAAGUAUGUUUAUGACCUCGAUGUUGAAUUGAAUAAACUGUAUUUAGAAGAAUAAAUGCAAAGUAAGUCUGUUCGACUUUUAAUAAUUCACAUGAUUUGAGUUCAACCGGCG
This 458-nucleotide ribosomal RNA is filed under the name Alpioniscus absoloni politus. RNAcentral's name for it is "partial 16S ribosomal RNA". It matches the Rfam family "Bacterial large subunit ribosomal RNA", at positions 1929 to 2621 of the family's 2925-position model. The record is from RNAcentral. Lineage: Eukaryota; Metazoa; Arthropoda; Malacostraca; Isopoda; Trichoniscidae.